CGGCGAACGGGUGAGUAACACGUGAGUAACCUGCCCCUGACUCUGGGAUAAGCCUGGGAAACCGGGUCUAAUACCGGAUACGACCUCUUCCCGCAUGGGAUGGGGGUGGAAAGUUUUUCGGUUGGGGAUGGGCUCGCGGCCUAUCAGCUUGUUGGUGGGGUAGUGGCCUACCAAGGCGACGACGGGUAGCCGGCCUGAGAGGGCGACCGGCCACACUGGGACUGAGACACGGCCCAGACUCCUACGGGAGGCAGCAGUGGGGAAUAUUGCGCAAUGGGCGAAAGCCUGACGCAGCGACGCCGCGUGGGGGAUGACGGCCUUCGGGUUGUAAACCUCUUUCAGCAGGGACGAAGUUGACGUGUACCUGCAGAAGAAGCGCCGGCUAACUACGUGCCAGCAGCCGCGGUAAUACGUAGGGCGCAAGCGUUGUCCGGAAUUAUUGGGCGUAAAGAGCUCGUAGGUGGCUUGUCGCGUCGGGUGUGAAAGCUUGGGGCUUAACUCCAGGUCUGCAUUCGAUACGGGCUGGCUAGAGGUAGGUAGGGGAGAACGGAAUUCCUGGUGUAGCGGUGAAAUGCGCAGAUAUCAGGAGGAACACCGGUGGCGAAGGCGGUUCUCUGGGCCUUACCUGACGCUGAGGAGCGAAAGCGUGGGGAGCGAACAGGAUUAGAUACCCUGGUAGUCCACGCUGUAAACGUUGGGCGCUAGGUGUGGGGGCCUUCCACGGUUUCCGCGCCGUAGCUAACGCAUUA
RNAcentral lists this ribosomal RNA (749 nucleotides) under Actinomycetes bacterium. RNAcentral describes it as "bacterial SSU rRNA". It matches the Rfam family "Bacterial small subunit ribosomal RNA", at positions 96 to 862 of the family's 1533-position model. The record is from RNAcentral. Lineage: Bacteria; Bacillati; Actinomycetota; Actinomycetes.